This 449-nucleotide ribosomal RNA is filed under the name uncultured bacterium. RNAcentral's name for it is "bacterial SSU rRNA". It matches the Rfam family "Bacterial small subunit ribosomal RNA", at positions 329 to 792 of the family's 1533-position model. The record is from RNAcentral.
GGCCAGACUCCUACGGGAGGCAGCAGUAGGGAAUAUUGCUCAAUGGGGGAAACCCUGAUGCAGCGACGCCGCGUGUGGGAAGACGGUCCUCUGGAUUGUAAACCACUGUCCCCAGGGACGAAAAUGACGGUACCUGGGGAGGAAGCUCCGGCUAACUACGUGCCAGCAGCCGCGGUAAUACGUAGGGAGCGAGCGUUGUCCGGAGUGACUGGGUGUAAAGAGUUGCGUAGGUGGCAUAGUAAGUAGCUAGUGAAAUCUGGGGGCUCAACCAUUCAGACUAUUAGCUAAACUGCUAAGCUCGAGACCGUUAGGGGUAACUGGAAUUUCUAGUGUAGGAGUGAAAUCCGUAGAUAUUAGAAGGAACACCGAUAGCGUAGGCAGGUUACUGGGACGGCUCUGACACUAAGGCACGAAAGCGUAGGGAGCAAACGGGAUUAGAUACCCCAGUA